Molecule: ribosomal RNA, 301 nt
Filed under: uncultured bacterium
Lineage: Bacteria
Description: partial 16S ribosomal RNA
Rfam family: Bacterial small subunit ribosomal RNA
Source: RNAcentral
CAGCCGCCACGGUAAUACAGAGGGUGCAAGCGUUAAUCGGAUUUACUGGGCGUAAAGGGCGCGUAGGUGGUUAUUUAAGUGAGAUGUGAAAGCCCCGGGCUUAACCUGGGAACUGCAUCUUAUACUGGGUAACUGGAGUGCAGUAGAGGGUAGUGGAAUUUCCGGUGUAGCGGUGAAAUGCGUAGAGAUCGGGAGGAACAUCAGUGGCGAAGGCGGCCAUCUGGGACAACACUGACGCUGAGGCACGAAAGCGUGGGGAGCAAACAGGAUUAGAGACCCCUGUAGUCCCUGUCUCUUAUAC